Molecule: long non-coding RNA, 2698 nt
Filed under: Gossypium barbadense (sea-island cotton)
Lineage: Eukaryota; Viridiplantae; Streptophyta; Magnoliopsida; Malvales; Malvaceae
Description: long non-coding RNA (GBAR_LNC004079)
Source: RNAcentral
UCGACCAUGGAGGUCUAAAAUUCAAGGUAAUUUCUUGAUUAUUUGAGCUUCAUCUUGAUGAAUUGAGUUCCUUGCUUGGUACCCUCCUUGACCCAUGUUUCUAUGUAUUUUAUCUUUGAAAGUGAUGUCUUGGGAACAUUCGGUUAUAGGGGGAGUUUUGAAUGUGAAAGCUGUACUAGAAAUGGAAUUUGGAGUGUCUAAUGGACUCCAUGUUGCUAAAAUUUACAUGAAUAGAAAUUUCUAAGCUUAAAUUGUAAGAAUUUGAGUUGUGUGGUUUAAAUUGUCAAAGAUGCAUUUGGCAAUUGAUUAUAAUUUGUUAAAGGGUGUAAAGUAUUGAUAGUUCUAAAUGGUACAUAGUUAAAUGAAGAUGGAAGCUUGAUAAAAUUUUAUUUAGAAUGAAAGUAGGAGAAAUGUGUAUUCGGCCAUGUUGUGAUGAGUUGAAUUUGAAUGGUUGAUGCUUUAGUUUAUAAAUGGUCAUUAGAUGAGUUUUAAACUUGUUAAAGUUUGAUAAUUUGGGGGUGUUAAAUUGGGGAAAACGUGUAAUAAAAAUGGGUUGAUAAUGUUUGUUUGUUAAUUGAUGUUUGCACCAUUGUCGAAUGUGCUUAACAUUAAGGCAUGAUUUAGUUAAAUGCAAACUAAUGGAAGAAUGGAAUUUAGCUUUGCCGUACAUGUGUUAAAAUGAUGGAAUUAGUAGGAAAUGGGUAUGAGCUUGUCAAAUUUUUGCAAUUAGGACCUUGUGAACUAAAUGAUAUUCAGCAAUGGUACUUUUUACAUGAGGAAUUCUGUGUUAAUUGUAUUAAAUAAGGUUGAGGUAGUUGUCGAAUGUGUUUAUAAUUAAGUAAGGUUAAUAAUAGAGCAAUGAGUGGCUAGUAGAAUCUCGUUAGUCUUCUUGUUAUAUUUGGCCAUGAGUUUGUAUAAUUGGUUUGUAAUAGAUUAAAUUUGUUUAUUCAAGCUCAAGAGCUUAGGGAGUCUAAUUCGGAUAAGAGAAAAAACUACCUAACCGAAUAGUCGAUCUGUAAUCGUUCGACAACUUCCGAGGUAAGUUCUUAAGUAUUUGAGUUUGAUUCCUUUUUAAGUUUUAAGUUUUUAAAUGGGAUGAAUAUGAAUUAAGUAUAUACGUUAAGGUCAAUGACUUUUCUAAAUGAUGGCAUAUAUGAUAUUAUGUUUUAAAUAUGUGAAUGAGAACUUUACAGAGUAAAUUUGUAUAAAUCUGCUUGGGACAGCAGCAGUAGUGUGUUUUGGAAAAAUUACCAUAAAUUGUGGGAAUUGAGUUAAAGGCUGAAUAGAUUAUGUAAUUAAAGCUUGAUGCGUCUAGUUUCGUAUAAAAGAAAUCGUGUAAGUAAAGGGGUUGCCGAUAAUGAGAUUUUUUUUAAAGUUGUGUGAGACAGAGUCAGAAUGGCUCCGAAAUCCCCUGUCCAGUAUUUGGAAAAUCAUUAUAAAUCGUACAAAAAUGAUUAUAAGAUAAGAUUUAUAUGCUUAGACUCCUUAAUGAGUCUAGUUUCAAAAAAAUAAACGAAAACAUAUUUUGAAUUCUGUACAAUGAGAAAUUCAAUUCUUAGUGAAGAGUAGUCAGAAUAGUCAAGCAGUAAAAUAGGGGAAACUUUAAGAAAAAUCUGGUAUUGAUUAGCCAAACCAAAAAUUUUGAAAAUUUUGUGGAUAGAAGAUAUACGAGUCUAUUUUCAUGAAAAAUUAACGACACAUCAUUUGGAGUUUCGUAGCUCCAGUUACAAAUAAUUUAACGACUGUUGCUCAGGAAAACAACUUGUAUAGAAUAUGUGAUUAUGUUGUAAACAUUGAUAAAACUUGUUUUAGUUGCUCAUAAGCUAUUGAUUAAACCCAUACGUGAAUUCUAAUUUGUGAUAUUAUAAAAUGAUAUAUGAGUGUUAGAUGGAUCUUUGAUAUUAAAAUUGUGAAAUUGUAAGUUUAUAAGUAUUCGAAUAUGAAAUGAUAGUAUGGCUUGAAAUUGAAUUAUUCAUUGGAAAAUGAUAGAUGUAGAUUCAGCCAAGACAAAGUGUAUACAUGAAAGUUUAUGUGGUAUAUGAAGUAUAUUUGGAUAAUUGUGAUGUGAAUAUAUGAAAAUUUAUAUUUUGAUUCAGAAUUUUAUGUGAUGAAUGUGAAUGUGUAUAUAUGAGAUAAGGCCGAAUGGCCAAUGUGAUGAACGUGAAAGUAUAUAUAUAUUGUGGCCAAAUGACAAACUAUGGAAGGUGUGUUUUAUUAGAUAUUUGAUGAGGUAAAUGAAUUAAAAAUAUGAUAGUCGAUGUGAAUGCUGUAACAUGUGAAUAAAUAUGCAUGAAACUUUGUGAUGUAAAUCCGGGAUUUAAGACCCGAUGACUAUAUGUGGUGACUAUGUCCGGGUUAAGACCUGCUGACUUCGUCUGGAGAUUUCAUCUGAGCUAAAGGUCUCACCGAUAAUCCGAGUAGAGUUUAAAGCUAUAAGACUUCGCAAUAGGAAUUGCUUAUAAAUAUAUUCAAUGCGAAAGGUUAAACAGGUAUGUACUCCGAGUUUAUAUGUGAGCUUGAUUUGAACUAAAUAAUAAGGUAGUUAUGUGAUGCAUACGUGAGCAAUCUAUGAGACUAUUCCUAUGAUUAUGUGGCAUCGAAUCAGUGUGAAAGGUUAUGUGAAAUUAUACAAUAUAUCUAUGUUACAUGAACUCACUUUUAUGUGAAAGUUUAUCUGCCUAUUGUAUAUGAUGAGAUG